CAGCCGCCGCGGUAAAACGAAGGGGGCUAGCGUUGUUCGGAAUUACUGGGCGUAAAGCGCGCGUAGGCGGACAUUUAAGUCAGGGGUGAAAUCCCGGGGCUCAACCCCGGAACUGCCUCUGAUACUGGGUGUCUAGAGUUCGGAAGAGGUAAGUGGAACUGCGAGUGUAGAGGUGAAAUUCGUAGAUAUUCGCAGGAACACCAGUGGCGAAGGCGACUUACUGGUCCGAUACUGACGCUGAGGUGCGAAAGCGUGGGGAGCAAACAGGAUUAGAUACCCCCGUAGUCCCUGUCUCUAUACC
Molecule: ribosomal RNA, 301 nt
Filed under: uncultured bacterium
Lineage: Bacteria
Description: partial 16S ribosomal RNA
Rfam family: Bacterial small subunit ribosomal RNA
Source: RNAcentral